Molecule: long non-coding RNA, 340 nt
Organism: Suricata suricatta (meerkat)
Lineage: Eukaryota; Metazoa; Chordata; Mammalia; Carnivora; Herpestidae
Exons: 2
Source: RefSeq, a predicted model, not a curated record
GGAGCCAAAUGUAGGGAAGCGGGGGUUCCAGGGAGAGGCCCAGAUGUGCAAUAGCCCCAGGGCAAGAAAAGAUCAUGGCUGGUUCAAGCAGAGAAAGGGCAAUGGUGACACAUACCAGAGAAGGUGGAGGGCUUGGGAGGAGAUGAAGGUAGCCGGGCUGGAGGAACCACGGUGUCUGGGACCACGGGGGUGGCGGAUAGGAAAAGAAGCCGGCUCCCUACAUUUUGGCUCUAUAACCAAGAGGAGCUGCUGACAGAUUGAUGUGGAGAUGAGAAAGGAAACAAGCCUUUACAGAGAAUUUCUAGGAGCAAAUGAACCAAAAUAAAAAGUAAACAACUUA